RNAcentral lists this ribosomal RNA (254 nucleotides) under uncultured bacterium. Its description in RNAcentral is "partial 16S ribosomal RNA". It matches the Rfam family "Bacterial small subunit ribosomal RNA", at positions 524 to 776 of the family's 1533-position model. The record is from RNAcentral.
UACGUAGAGUGCGAGCGUUGUCCGGAAUUAUUGGGCGUAAAGAGCUCGUAGGCGGUGUGUCACGUCGGCCGUGAAAACCUGCAGCUUAACUGUGGGCGUGCGGUCGAUACGGGCAUCACUGGAGUUCGGCAGGGGAGACUGGAAUUCCUGGUGUAGCGGUGAAAUGCGCAGAUAUCAGGAGGAACACCGGUGGCGAAGGCGGGUCUCUGGGCCGAUACUGACGCUGAGGAGCGAAAGCGUGGGGAGCGAACAGG